GUUAAUCCAUCUUCCUCACCACCACCAUCAACACCACUACCAUCUACUUAAUGAAUGGGUUACGAAUCGAAUAUGGUUUUUGUUCUAAGAUACCCGGAGUGACGAGGUAAAAUGGUUGAUUUGAAAUUUUGAAUAAUCGGUGGAAAUGGGGUUUUUAUAAGAUGUAUCACAGAAUGGAUGUUCCAACAAAUCUGUUGUUCGUCUGUCCUCCUGUGAAAUUGCAUCACAAACUGAAAAGCUAAAGGAGCCAGCAUUAGGUUAAAGUGUCAAAUAUGGUUUACGGAAGCGGGAGCAGAAAGUUUGUAUAUGUGCAACGGGUUAAGCCAAGUAACAAUAACGAGUUCUUUAAUUUCGAGGAUUACUGUGAAGCUGCGGUUUAUGAUUGGUGACUGCUGAUAGGGGCCAGGCUUCCUUUGUUCAUGAUUGGUGACUGCUGAUAGAGGCCAGGCUUCCUUUCUUCGACAACCUUUGGGACAUUUUUAACACAAACAAUGUCAUCAGUAUCAUUUACAACAGGGUGAACAGUCUCAUUUGCAUGACCAGAUGAUUCAGCCUCACGUGAUCAACUUGCUAGCGAAUUCCAAAAUUACUAUGUGUAGAAAAUGGAAACUUAAGUACAGAAGUAUGAGAGAGCAGCAUUUCUGUCGUCAAAAGCAUUUGUAAGUAAAGAAUUCACUCUUUUUGUGGAAAAAAUUAGUUGUGUUAGUGUUGUGCACCUGGUAAGUACUAUGCCAAUGUCCUGCAACCACCAAAUGAUUAAGUUAUUUGAGCUUUGGGUUUCAAGUGUUUGUUUUUUGGCAUCUAGGUUUAGAAACAUGUCCUUUAGGUGCCCUUGGGGCGAGAUUAGCCUAGUUUUAAUUUUGACUACCGAAACUAAUAUUUUUAAGUGUGAAGGAAACCCUGAACUCGAAAGUUGAUACUUUUGUGUAUAUGCAAACAUUUAUGAUGUGGUGUUCUAGUAAUGGAUGAUUAAGAGCUUCAGUUAGAGAACUGUCCAAAUUGUUGCAACCAAGAUGUACUCUAUUUAGGAGGGCAUUAUCAAACUAGCGUAGUUUUACUUGAUACAUCAGGUUUGAGUACGUACUAGUGUAACUAUCUUGAAUUUAUUGUCUACCUCGUGCACUAGGAACUUCUUGAUAAGCUGGAACAUAGAGAAGAGGGAUGUAUUUUUUCCAGCUACAUACAAUUGGAUUAGAAGAUAUCGAUGAAACAGAUACUUCUCGUGGUUUUCUCAUUUUACUUGCUUUUUGUUAUCUUUAUCCUGCUAAAUUGCUAAUAUAUGUUCACCUCGACAAUCUCACUGCAACAUGUUUACUGCUACAAUUAUUAGUUUUCUCUCGUGCUGGAUUACGAGAUAAUAACAUUACAUUUAUUCGAUGCUGAGAUUUAUUAGCUUCUCUUUACUAUACAUUCAGAAGGCUUCUGAUUAUGGCCGGUUUGCCCUUACAGAAGUAAACAAAGUUCUGUUGUUGUAUGAAGGAAACAUCCUUCGUCAUUAUGCCCCUUAAACUGCAACCUUAGAAAAAGUUGGGAAUGAUCAUGCUGUGAGCUUCCAAGACUUUUUUCCAGCAAAUUCUAUGCAUGACCAUGUUUCGUUGAAGAAUUCAGGUGACGACUGCUGGAAGUGGAUCCAAUGAGUUAGAGAGUAAUCUUAGACUGAUGAAUAUUAUACCAUGUCAAUGAACUAGUUUUUUACUUUGCCGGUUUGCGUGAAUGAUGAAAUAAUGGAUCACUGCUAGCAUAUACUUUGUUGUUUUGAGCACAUGAGAUUAUGAUGAGAUUGAAGUUCAAGGAUUUUAUGCAUGUAAAUUAAUUUCUUAUGGUUUAUGUUUCUGUUAUAAGUUCCAUUUCUGUUAGGAAGCAAACUGGUGUGAAGAGCUAUCUCGUGAGUCUGCAGUUUGAAACAAUGGCGGGCAGAAGAACUUAGUUGUGGUCGAGCAGGGAGGAGCAACAAAGCUCAGUUAGGGACAUUAUGGAGCAUAUCAAGUGGAUACGGACUCGAGCCAAGCUUUUAUCCGCCAUAAAUUAGAAAAAAGGGAAUAAAAUGAGAUUGCUGGGAAUUCUCUUUUGAUUUUUGUGUAUGAUUUUUGGUUUAGCUGAACCAAAUACCGGGGAAUAUGGUUGGUUCAAAUGGGCCAUGAACUAUUUCCUUGAAGAUUUUAGUUGCUUAAGACGAUUCAAACAAGAAGAGAACAUGAUUAAACCGGAAAAAAUAAAGUGAAAAUAUUAUUAACCAU
Long non-coding RNA from Papaver somniferum (opium poppy), 2237 nucleotides. RefSeq lists it as uncharacterized. The transcript is spliced from 2 exons. NCBI's taxonomy places the organism in Eukaryota, Viridiplantae, Streptophyta, Magnoliopsida, Ranunculales, Papaveraceae. The record is from RefSeq and is a predicted model, not a curated record.